Molecule: non-coding RNA, 272 nt
Organism: Cinara cedri
Lineage: Eukaryota; Metazoa; Arthropoda; Insecta; Hemiptera; Aphididae
Source: the annotation of a GenBank genome assembly
AUAUUUUUUCAGCGGUCUUUAAAAAUAAAUAAAUUAUCGCUAUCUUCUUUACGUCUUCAAACGCUUGAUUGGUUUGGUGCAUAUCUCCAAGUGUCCCUAUCGUUACUCAGUUCCUUUAACUCCUUAUAGCUAUUCUUUAGCAUAUCUAUCAUAAUUUGGUUCAUAUACUUCAUCCUUGGUCUUUCUCUUCUGGCAUGACCUUCAACGUCACCUUCUAUGACGCUUUUCGUUGGGUUAUCAUGGUGUAGUAGAUGUCCUGUCAUUUUGUUUCU